Molecule: transfer RNA, 73 nt
Filed under: Phyllodactylus reissii
Lineage: Eukaryota; Metazoa; Chordata; Lepidosauria; Squamata; Phyllodactylidae
Description: tRNA-Trp
Source: RNAcentral
AGAAAUUUAGGUUAAUACUAAACCAAGGNCCUUCAAAACCCUAAAUAUGAGCCACUAACCCUCCUAAUUUCUG